Molecule: ribosomal RNA, 465 nt
Filed under: uncultured Klebsiella sp.
Lineage: Bacteria; Pseudomonadati; Pseudomonadota; Gammaproteobacteria; Enterobacterales; Enterobacteriaceae
Description: bacterial SSU rRNA
Rfam family: Bacterial small subunit ribosomal RNA
Source: RNAcentral
CCUACGGGUGGCAGCAGUGGGGAAUAUUGCACAAUGGGCGCAAGCCUGAUGCAGCCAUGCCGCGUGUGUGAAGAAGGCCUUCGGGUUGUAAAGCACUUUCAGCGGGGAGGAAGGCGGUGAGGUUAAUAACCUCAUCGAUUGACGUUACCCGCAGAAGAAGCACCGGCUAACUCCGUGCCAGCAGCCGCGGUAAUACGGAGGGUGCAAGCGUUAAUCGGAAUUACUGGGCGUAAAGCGCACGCAGGCGGUCUGUCAAGUCGGAUGUGAAAUCCCCGGGCUCAACCUGGGAACUGCAUUCGAAACUGGCAGGCUAGAGUCUUGUAGAGGGGGGUAGAAUUCCAGGUGUAGCGGUGAAAUGCGUAGAGAUCUGGGGGAAUACCGGUGGCGAAGGCGGCCCCCUGGACAAAGACUGACGCUGAUGUGCGAAAGCGUGGGGAUCAAACAGGAUUAGAUACCCGUGUAGUC